ACCCCACUGCUAUCGAGGUGGGACUAAGCCAUGCUAGUUGAGCGCACAGAACUAUGUCUGUGAGCGGCACACUGCUCAGUAACACGUAGCUAACCUACCCUUAGGACGUGGACAACCCCGAGAAAUUGGGGCUAAUCCGCGAUAGAUGUAUUGUCCUGGAAUGGUAUUACGUCUAAAGGUAUCCCAUACAUGUUUGGUAUAUGCCUAAGGAUGGGGCUGCGGCCGAUCAGGCUGUUGGUGAGGUAAUGGCUCACCAAACCUUUGACCGGUACGGGCCAUGAGAGUGGUAGCCCGGAGAUGGACACUGAGACAAGGGUCCAGGCCCUACGGGGCGCAGCAGGCGCGAAACCUCCUCAAUGCACUUACGUGCGAAGGGGCUACCUCGAGUGCCACCUGAUGAAGGUGGCUUUUCCUAGGUCUAAAAAGCCUUGGGGAUAAGAGGGGGGCAAGACUGGUGUCAGCCGCCGCGGUAACACCAGCCCCUCGAGUGGUGGGGAUGAUUAUUGGGCCUAAAGCGUCCGUAGCCUGCCGUGUAAGUUUCCCGUUAAAUCCAGCGUCUUAAGCGUUGGACCGCGGGAAAUACUGUACGGCUAGAGAGUGGGAGAGGUCAGCGGUAUUCUGGGGGUAGGGGCGAAAUCCUUUGAUCCCCGGAGGACCACCAGUGGCGAAGGCUGCUGUCUAGAACACGUCUGACGGUCAGGGACGAAAGCCGGGGUAGCGAACCGGAUUAGAUACCCGGGUAGUCCCAGCCGUAAACGAUGCAUGCUAGGUGUUGGGUUGGCCACGAGCCACCCCAGUGCCGCAGGGAAGCCGUUAAGCAUGCCGCCUGGGAAGUACGAUCGCAAGGUUGAAACUUAAAGGAAUUGGCGGGGGAGCACCACCAGGCGUGAAGCCUGCGGUUUAAUUGGAGUCAACGCCGGG
RNAcentral lists this ribosomal RNA (921 nucleotides) under uncultured archaeon. RNAcentral's name for it is "bacterial SSU rRNA". It matches the Rfam family "Archaeal small subunit ribosomal RNA", at positions 21 to 922 of the family's 1478-position model. The record is from RNAcentral.